CACUAUAAUCAAAAUAUGAAGUGAUCUCAAUUAAAGGAACUAGUAACUUUUUUUUAAAUAAGUAACUUCUCAGCAAAAGGCCAUAUAGGGGGUAGCAGACUGGGGCCACACAGGCCGAGAGUGCGGCAGGGGAACGUAGUAACUUCAGGGAGCGCUGGACAUGCCUGACUCCCCUGUCUUUACUGUUCUAAGCUGUGUUUAUCUGUCCUACUGUCUGCGAGAACAGAAGCAGGGAGAUUCAAACGCAGAAGGUGGGGACUUUGUUAGGGGACCCAGCGACAGCAGGAAGGAAUCUCGGCCGGAGUCAUGGGUGCGAAGAGAUCGACAGCCGGGAGAAUCAGUCCUACAAAUGCACAAGGGAAGGAUGGUAAGAACAUGGAGGAAGUCCAAAGAAUGUUAGGAGAGUAGAACUCAGGAACUGGAGAGGGGCAAAGAUCAAGGUAUGACACAUAAGACAGAAAUAGCGUUCAUGAACAAAUAAUAACUCGCACUGAGGAAGCGGGCAGAGAAGCGUAACCAGUUAUGGAACAGGUGUGGCUAGUAGUUAGUUCAGCUAAUUAAGUCGAGUUCACACACAGGCAAUGACACUGCACAGAGUGUUUGAAAUAAAAGGAGUGCUGCCUUACCUUUCCUACCAACCAGGACCAAAGGAGAACAUGGUAAGGAGAACAUGGACAGGAGGAGAACACAGAGUGGAGGGGAAAAUGGAUGGGAUGACAUGGGGAUGAGGACAUAGAGGAGAACAUGGAGAAGAUGGAAUGGAGGAGAAUAUGGGGAGGAGAGCAUGGAGAGGAGAACAUGGAGAGGCGGACAUGGGGAAAAGGACACGAAGUGGAGGACAUGGGGAAGAGGACACAAAGAGGGCAACAUGAAGUGGAGGAGAACAUGGAGAGGAUGGAAUGGAGGAGAAUAUGGGGAGGAGAACAUGGAGAGGAGAACAAUGAGAGGGGGACAUGGAGAGGAGGCAAUGGUCAAGAGAACAUGGAGAAGAGGACAUGGUGAGGAGGCAAUGAGAGGGGGACACGGAGACCCUCAGACUCCUUUGUCCAUGUGCAGUAUGUGCUCUUCUGGCUUUGUGUGCAACAUGCAGGAUGUUUCAUUCAACUGCUGCAGUUGUGCUUUUAUUGUGUGGUUUAGAUAACUUUUUAUUUAGUUUUAAGAACUUGCGUUUCAUGUUUGUUGCUUUCUUUUUUUGAUUCAUUGGUCACAGUUGUACUAAAUAAGACAAGCAGUUACAGAAAAUAGAUGGAUGGAUAUUCUCAGUUGUUUGCUCAUAAAAAACAUAUUGAUGUGAAAUUUAUCCUGGCGUAUUUUUUUUCUUUGUACAGCUUAUAUAUUUUAAAAUAAUCAGCUCUUACUUUUCCUUUUCAUAGAUAUAGUGGUAGAUUUAGUAACAGGGUGGGAAAGUAAUUUUGGAUAAAUACUUAUGACAUUGUUUAAUAUCUCUGACAGAAGCUUAGUUCUACUGCUUUCGAUUGAUGAGUAUUUAAUAAAAAUAUGGUAAAUGGA
Molecule: long non-coding RNA, 1509 nt
Organism: Brienomyrus brachyistius
Lineage: Eukaryota; Metazoa; Chordata; Actinopteri; Osteoglossiformes; Mormyridae
Exons: 2
Source: RefSeq, a predicted model, not a curated record